This is a non-coding RNA of Camellia sinensis, 769 nucleotides long. The record is from RefSeq and is a predicted model, not a curated record. Lineage: Eukaryota; Viridiplantae; Streptophyta; Magnoliopsida; Ericales; Theaceae.
CCAACCAAAGCUGUAUGUGCAGAGCAUCUUGAGUUGAGAAAAGAAAUAUUGACUUUAUUGAGUCUUUAGAAACAGAUUGAGAAGCUUUUUAAAGAUGAAGCUACUGAAGAAAAGGAUUUCUGCUACUUUGAAGACAUCAAUUGGUUAAUUCACUCUCUAUCAAGGUAUGCAUUAGAUGAUAUUGGUUCUGGAUCUCAUGUGCAUCUUAGUUUGUGGGAAAAUGGGAAAAAUGUAUUUAUGGCAUCUGGUGGACACGCUAAGCAUGGAAUGUCCAAGGUUGGAGAAGAGUUCAUGGCAGGGGUUUUAAAUCAUCUACCUUCAAUUCUGGCCUUUACGGCACCACUUCCAAACAGUUAUGAUUGCAUGUGCCCAAUAUUUGGAGUGCAGCAUACCAGUGCUGGGGAAAAGAGAACAGAGAAGCACCCCUGAGAACCGCAUGCCCACCUGGGGUUCAAAAUGGUGUUGUGAGCGACUUUGAGAUUAAAGCAUUUGAUGGGUGUGCAAAUCCACACUUGGGGCUGGCUGCUAUAAUUGCUGCUGGGAUUGGUGGCCUUCGUAGACAUCUGAGUUUGCCUGAACCCGUUGGUAAGUAGGAUUAUAUGAUUGUACUAUACCCAAUGUAUCACAUCGAUUAUUUGUUAGUGUUUUUUUUGUGCGUUAUUUUCGAAUAUUUUUUUAGACAUACCAUCCAUAAAUCCCCCAUGUUUCAUGUCCUUUCAGUCCUGGCACUUAAUCAAAAAAAAAAAAAUCCUUUAUGAAUUAUGUGAAA